Molecule: ribosomal RNA, 253 nt
Filed under: uncultured bacterium
Lineage: Bacteria
Description: partial 16S ribosomal RNA
Rfam family: Bacterial small subunit ribosomal RNA
Source: RNAcentral
UACGUAGGGUCCGAGCGUUGUCCGGAAUUAUUGGGCGUAAAGAGCUCGUAGGCGGUCUGUUGCGUCGGUUGUGAAAACCUGGGGCUCAACUCCAGGCCUGCAAUCGAUACGGGCAGACUAGAGUUCGGUAGGGGAGACUGGAAUUCCUGGUGUAGCGGUGAAAUGCGCAGAUAUCAGGAGGAACACCGGUGGCGAAGGCGGAUCUCUGGGCCUUACCUGACGCUCAGGUGCGAAAGCUAGGGGAGCGAACAGG